GCGGGUGUAGCUCAAUGGUAGAGCGGGUGCUUCCCAAGCAUCAUACGAGGGUUCGAUUCCCUUCACCCGCUCCA
RNAcentral lists this transfer RNA (74 nucleotides) under Prosthecobacter sp. RNAcentral describes it as "tRNA-Gly". It matches the Rfam family "tRNA". Rfam says of the family: Transfer RNA (tRNA) molecules are approximately 80 nucleotides in length. Their secondary structure includes four short double-helical elements and three loops (D, anti-codon, and T loops). RNAcentral also lists the same sequence under 1 other name. The record is from RNAcentral. Lineage: Bacteria; Pseudomonadati; Verrucomicrobiota; Verrucomicrobiia; Verrucomicrobiales; Verrucomicrobiaceae.